UACAGAGGCAGAAGCACAAGCCACGGACACAGAGGCAGAGACUCAAUCCAUAAGCCAAGAGGACAGAGCUGCAGGCCUAAACGGUGGAGCCCUGAGCCAAACAGGAUUAUUGUCAGGCCUUGAAACCUAAGGGAAUCCAGCUGGGUGAAUUUUGAAAAUCAUCAGGACAGCCCAAAAAGCUAUCAGAAGACUCCAAGAGGCCAUACCAUGACGAUUUCAGAAAAGACUUUGUGAGGUCAAAAAUACACACACUAAACCACCAAGGCAGAGCUGGAAAGGGGAGUAGAAAAGCAGAUAAAACAAGUGACCUUACAGACAGUUUUCUGCUGUCUCCUGCAGAGAGAAAUCUUUUUCCUCUCAGGUCUUCCAGAGCUCUAUUCCCUGUCUUCAAGGGGGUCAUGGGAGAAAGAAGCAAUCAAGAGAAGAAAUAAACCACGGAGAAUAGGAAUCAAUAUUUACCUUUAAAAAUCUAAAUAAAGGUAAUAGAAUUUUCAGGUUCAUCCCUGGCAUAGACAU
Molecule: long non-coding RNA, 516 nt
Filed under: Equus caballus (horse)
Lineage: Eukaryota; Metazoa; Chordata; Mammalia; Perissodactyla; Equidae
Description: lncRNA (ENSECAG00000051228.1)
Source: RNAcentral